This 3129-nucleotide long non-coding RNA is filed under the name Homo sapiens (human). RNAcentral's name for it is "HSALNT0013729". The record is from RNAcentral. Lineage: Eukaryota; Metazoa; Chordata; Mammalia; Primates; Hominidae.
AAAACCUAUACAAAAAAAUAACAGAAUGGCAUUUUAGCUCAUUCAUUGAUUUUUAUAAAAUAUUUAACACACUCCCUGGUUUGUAGUUAGCGUUCAAUAAAUGCUAAAAAUUUAUCUUCACCAUCAUCAUUAAUUUAUUUAUUAAUCAUUAUUAAAUUAUUCAUUGAUCAUUUUUUGAGGAUUUACUAUUGCCAGACACUGUGCUACAAGCUGGGAAUGCUGACAGUAUAAGAUAAAGAGGGAAAUGAUGGGGGAUGGGUCAUGUAAAGGGAGAACUUUCAUUUUUACUUCAUAUAUAUCUAAGCAGUUAUAAUAGGUUGAUUUUUGUAAUUUAAAAAAUGUAAAAAUGCAUACAUGCACUAGUGCAUGAAUGGCAGCCAGGAUGAGUGGAAUUGGAGAAGCAUCACACACACAGUGACUUUUGUGUUUGAUCUUGAAGAAUGAGCGAACCAGGCAGGGAGUCGGGGAGGAGAAUCGCAUUCCUUGAGGAAAGAGCAGCAUGUGGGAAAACAUAAAUGCACGCAAUAACCUGGCUCACAUGUUAAGAGAACUUUCUGACUAUAAUGAGGGAUGUGUUGCUGCCCCAAGCUUCAUUAUCUAAGGAGUUUGUUGAACACUCUCUAGAGGGCUUUUUGGGGUGGUGAAAUAGACAUUUAUGGAAAAUGGGAUACCCACAUUAAGCAGGGUGACUACCUGUUUACCAUACAACCCACACAAAGCCAAUACAACUAUAGAUGUGCUUUCUUUAGUCUGUUGCCUCUGCAAACAUUGCCCGUGUGUUUCUCUAUGCCCUUCAAAAACAUCAGAGCAGCACAUCCUGGAAGAUCCUAUCUUUUGUAAGUUUAAGAAGCAGCCUCUUGUCACAGCUUGACUCCUAGGUAGUGUGCCUAGUGACCAAGAGGGCUGCUAAGAAAGCUUUCUGACCACUUGUGGCUGUCAUUGGACUGAUUUGCCCAGAUGACAUCAAUUGGGAAUUUGAGGCAUGACCUAUAAAGAUCAGUUGCUUGCAAGAGUCUCAGGAAAAUAAUUGUGGAGUUAAGAAACUUGAAGCGAUUUUUAAAAAUUACCUAACCCAACCUUCUCAUUUGAAAAAUUAAAAAAUAAAUAGGCCAGAUAUGGCGGCUCAUGCCUGUAAUCCCAGCGCUGUGGGAGCCUGAGGCGGGUGGGUCUCUUGAGGCCAGGAGUUCAAGACCAGCCUGGACAAUGUGGUGAAACCCUGUCUCUACUAAAAACACAAAAAUUAGCUGGGUGUGGUGGCAGGCGCCUGUAAUCCCAGCUACUCAGGAGGCUAAGGUGGGAGGAUUACUUGAACUGGGGAGGCAUAGGUUGUAGUGAGCCAAGGUCGUGUCACUGCACUCCAGCCUGGGUGACAGAGUAAGACUCUGCCUAAAAAAAAAAAAAGAAAGAUUAAAAAAUAAAUAAAUCUGCUGGGCGUGGUGGCUCACGCCUGUAAUCCCAGCACUUUGGGAGGCCGAGGCGGGUGGAUCACCUGAGGUCGGGAGUUUGAGACCAGCCUGAUCAACAUGGAGAAACCUCGUCUCUACUAAAAACACAAAAAAAUUAGCUGGGCGUGGUGGCGCAUGCCUCAUUCACGUACAUGGGAGAGUCUACAAAGUCACACGUAUUCAUAGGUUAAGCCACAUGCUGACAAAUGUCAUAAGAAGACCCUACACUUUUACCUUGGCCGAUCCCUCCCCUCAGUGCAAGCUCUGUGCAAGAGUGAACUUGAACUUCACUCAGUGCAAGAGUGAACACACACUUUGUGCCGGCUUUAAAGAACCCAGCACAAAGCCAGUCUGCAUGGCCUACAGACAUAUUUUGCUGGACAAUGAUUACUUGCUUUUCUUUUUGUUUUUCUUGUAUAUGCCUGUUUGAUUGGUUCCUGACAUACCAGAAAAUCACUGUCAAAACAUUAGCUUAACAAUAUAAUAAGUAAAGAAAAUUUAAAACCACAAAACAUUACUGUGUUUGUAGGGGGAGGUCUGAUUUACAGAGUAACCACAUAGUAAUUAUAAUUAUUAGAAUGUCCAGUUUUCAAAAAACGUUACAAGGCAUACAAAGAAUGGGAAAGUGUGGCUCAUUCAAAGGAACAAAAUAAAGUGACAGAAAAUAUCCCUAAGGAAACCCAGACAUCAAACUUACCAGACAAAGACUUUAAAACAACUCUCUUCAUUAUACUCAAAUGUCAAAAGGAAAACAUAAACAAAGAAAUAAAGGAAUCAGAAAAAAUAUUAAAAAGUAGGAAUAUCAGCAAAGAGAUAACAAAUUCUGGAGUGGAAAACUACAAUGAUAAAAAUUUAAAAAUCACCAGAGGGAUUUAAGAGUAUAUUUGCACACACAGAGGAAGCCAUGAACUUGAAGAGAAGAAAAUGGAAAAUACUGUCUCUGAGAAACAGAAAGAAUAAAAAAUAAACAAUGAGCAGAGACUAAUGAAUUUGUGGGACAUCAUCAAAUAGACCAACAUUCAUAUUCUAGAAGGAUAAAUUAUGUUGUUAAAAAGUUUACCAUUCUUUCUUUUCACCUUUCUUCCUUCUUCCUUCCCCCUCCUCCUUUUUACUUUUCUUCCUCUUCCUUUCUCUUCUUCUUUCUCGCCUUCAUUAUCCCUUUCGCUGUUUCUCUUUCUCCCUUUCUCUUUUUUCUUUUCUUUCAAUUUUCUCAAUUACUAAGAGAUGUUUAAGUACCCUUAGCAUGUUAGUAGAUAUGGUUAUUUCUCCCUUUAGUUCUCUUUUGAGAUUUAUAGUCACUCAAAUAAAGAGAUAACCCAAACAUAAGCGUCACAAACAGGCUUUCAUACCAUUCUUAAUUUGGUCCUGUAAUUCUUCAUUGCUGUAUUAAUUUUCUGAUGCUUUUAAGGAUGUUUUAUAACAAAUUGUGUAGCUUUUUCCAAUGGAAUGUUUAUUCUGAAUUAUCUAAUUCAUAUUGUAAGUAUAGAGGGAGUUUAAUAUAAAAUUAUUAAACUAAUAUUUGUGAAAGAAUGUAUUUGAGCAUUUAACAAAUAUGUUAAUCCUCAGACUGUUAUUGGGCAGCUGAGCAUACAGGAAUAAAAAUAACACAAUUUUUAUGUGUACAAUAUUUAUGGAAUACGUUACUGGACCCAAUAAAUAAUUUAGUUAAUAACAUGACAAAGAA